This 428-nucleotide ribosomal RNA is filed under the name uncultured bacterium. RNAcentral describes it as "bacterial SSU rRNA". It matches the Rfam family "Bacterial small subunit ribosomal RNA", at positions 355 to 775 of the family's 1533-position model. The record is from RNAcentral.
UGGGGAAUAUUGGACAAUGGGGGCAACCCUGAUCCAGCAAUGCCGCGUGUGUGAAGAAGGCCUUCGGGUUGUAAAGCACUUUAGGGGGGGAAGAAGGUACGUAGUUUAAGAGAUGACGUAUUUGACGGUACCCUCAGAAUAAGCACCGGCUAACUCUGUGCCAGCAGCCGCGGUAAUACAGAGGGUGCAAGCGUUAAUCGGAUUUACUGGGCGUAAAGGGCGCGUAGGUGGUUAUUUAAGUGAGAUGUGAAAGCCCCGGGCUUAACCUGGGAACUGCAUCUUAUACUGGGUAGCUUGAGUACAUUAGAGGGCAGUGGAAUUUCCGGUGUAGCGGUGAAAUGCGUAGAUAUCGGAAGGAACACCAGUGGCGAAGGCGGCUGCCUGGAAUGAUACUGACACUGAGGCGCGAAAGCGUGGGUAGCAAACAG